AGAGUUUGAUCCUGGCUCAGGAUGAACGCUGGCGGCGUGCUUAACACAUGCAAGUCGAACGAAGUAUUUUAAAUGAGACUUUCGGGUGGAUUUUAAAAUGACUGAGUGGCGGACGGGUGAGUAACGCGUGGGCAACCUGCCUUACACAGGGGGACAACAGUUAGAAAUGACUGCUAAUACCGCAUAAGCGCACGGGAACGCAUGUUUCUGUGUGAAAAACUCCGGUGGUGUAAGAUGGGCCCGCGUUGGAUUAGGUAGUUGGUGAGGUAACGGCUCACCAAGCCGACGAUCCAUAGCCGACCUGAGAGGGUGACCGGCCACAUUGGGACUGAGACACGGCCCAAACUCCUACGGGAGGCAGCAGUGGGGAAUAUUGCACAAUGGGCGCAAGCCUGAUGCAGCGACGCCGCGUGAGCGAAGAAGUAUUUCGGUAUGUAAAGCUCUAUCAGCAGGGAAGAAAAUGACGGUACCUGACUAAGAAGCUCCGGCUAAAUACGUG
RNAcentral lists this ribosomal RNA (499 nucleotides) under uncultured Lachnospiraceae bacterium. Its description in RNAcentral is "bacterial SSU rRNA". It matches the Rfam family "Bacterial small subunit ribosomal RNA", at positions 8 to 507 of the family's 1533-position model. Lineage: Bacteria; Bacillati; Bacillota; Clostridia; Lachnospirales; Lachnospiraceae. The record is from RNAcentral.